Molecule: long non-coding RNA, 277 nt
Organism: Centruroides sculpturatus (bark scorpion)
Lineage: Eukaryota; Metazoa; Arthropoda; Arachnida; Scorpiones; Buthidae
Exons: 3
Source: RefSeq, a predicted model, not a curated record
CAGGAAUUUGACUUGCUUAAUUACUCCUUGAGCAGCGCACGCAUCUUCUUCCGAGCCGACUUAACAGCUGCCGAGGAAAAAGAACAAAAAUCCAAAGGAAACAAUUCGACAGAAGGAUCCUGUGAAUCUGCAUCAGUUGAUAUUACCUCUUAUUCAAUUAUGUAGAUUAACAGCAUGGUUUUAGGUGAUGGUGGUCACUUUUUUUUUCCUUAACAUUAGUUUUUUUCUCCCUUACUGCUGUUAAUUCAUAUUAAAAAAUUACAUAUAUAUAUAUAUA